Molecule: transfer RNA, 73 nt
Filed under: Oscarella balibaloi
Lineage: Eukaryota; Metazoa; Porifera; Homoscleromorpha; Homosclerophorida; Oscarellidae
Description: tRNA-Lys
Rfam family: tRNA
About the family: Transfer RNA (tRNA) molecules are approximately 80 nucleotides in length.
Source: RNAcentral
UGGUGCGUAACUCAAUUGGCAGAGUAAUAGGCUUUUAACUUAAAGGUUGAUGGUUCAAAUCCAUCCGUACUAA